AUGUUUGUUUUGGCACCACUUAUACAAAAAUUAGAAUAUAGAGAUUAUAUGGCUCCUGCACAAGAAUGACACGCAAAUUCAUCAAGUGUUCCCAUAAGUU
This 100-nucleotide small nuclear RNA is filed under the name Loxodonta africana (African savanna elephant). Lineage: Eukaryota; Metazoa; Chordata; Mammalia; Proboscidea; Elephantidae. The record is from RNAcentral.